Molecule: ribosomal RNA, 200 nt
Filed under: uncultured bacterium
Lineage: Bacteria
Description: partial 16S ribosomal RNA
Rfam family: Bacterial small subunit ribosomal RNA
Source: RNAcentral
UACGGAGGGUACAAACGUUGCUCGGAAUCACUGGGCAUAAAGCGCGCGUAGGCGGUCCACCCAGUCAGAUGUGAAAGCCCUCGGCUCAACCGGGGAACUGCAUUUGAUACUAGUGGGCUUGAGGAUGGUAGGGGUGUGUGGAACUUCAGGUGGAACGGUGAAAUGUAUUGAUAUCUGAAGGAACACCUGUGGCGAAAGCG